Molecule: ribosomal RNA, 440 nt
Filed under: uncultured bacterium
Lineage: Bacteria
Description: partial 16S ribosomal RNA
Rfam family: Bacterial small subunit ribosomal RNA
Source: RNAcentral
CCUACGGGAGGCAGCAGUGGGGGAUAUUGCACAAUGGGGGGAACCCGGAUGCAGCGACGCCGCGUGGGUGAAGAAGCGCCUCGGCGCGUAAAGCCCUGUCAGCAGGGAAGAAAAUGACGGUACCUGAAGAAGAAGCCCCGGCUAACUACGUGCCAGCAGCCGCGGUAAUACGUAGGGGGCAAGCGUUAUCCGGAUUUACUGGGUGGAAAGGGGGCGCAGACGGCGAUGCAAGCCAGGAGUGAAAGCCCGGGGCCCAACCCCGGGACUGCUCUUGGAACUGCGUGGCUGGAGUGCAGGAGGGGCAGGCGGAAUUCCUGGUGUAGCGGUGAAAUGCGUAGAUAUCAGGAGGAACACCGGUGGCGAAGGCGGCCUGCUGGACUGCAACUGACGUUGAGGCCCGAAAGCGUGGGGAGCAAACAGGAUUAGAUACCCCAGUAGUC